This 614-nucleotide ribosomal RNA is filed under the name uncultured Alphaproteobacteria bacterium. Its description in RNAcentral is "bacterial SSU rRNA". It matches the Rfam family "Bacterial small subunit ribosomal RNA", at positions 185 to 818 of the family's 1533-position model. The record is from RNAcentral. Lineage: Bacteria; Pseudomonadati; Pseudomonadota; Alphaproteobacteria.
AGAUAAGUCUUUACGGAGAAAGCUUUAUGCACCAUUGGAUGAGCCCGCACUUGAUUAGUUUGUUGGUAGGGUAAUGGCCUACCAAGACUGUGAUCAAUAGCUGAUUUGAGAGGAUGAUCAGCCACAUUGGGACUGAGACACGGCCCAAACUCCUACGGGAGGCAGCAGUGGGGAAUCUUGCACAAUGGAGGAAACUCUGAUGCAGCGAUGCCGCGUGAGUGAAGAAGGCCCUUGGGUUGUAAAGCUCUUUCGUCGGGGAAGAAAAUGACUGUACCCGAAUAAGAAGGUCCGGCUAACUUCGUGCCAGCAGCCGCGGUAAUACGAAGGGACCUAGCGUAGUUCGGAAUUACUGGGCUUAAAGAGUUCGUAGGUGGUUGAAAAAGUUGGUGGUGAAAUCCCAGAGCUUAACUCUGGAACUGCCAUCAAAACUUUUCAGCUAGAGUUUGAUAGAGGAAAGCAGAAUUUCUAGUGUAGAGGUGAAAUUCGUAGAUAUUAGAAAGAAUACCAAUUGCGAAGGCAGCUUUCUGGAUCAUUACUGACACUGAGGAACGAAAGCAUGGGUAGCGAAGAGGAUUAGAUACCCUCGUAGUCCAUGCCGUAAACGAUGUGUGUUA